Molecule: non-coding RNA, 657 nt
Organism: Pelobates cultripes (western spadefoot toad)
Lineage: Eukaryota; Metazoa; Chordata; Amphibia; Anura; Pelobatidae
Source: the annotation of a GenBank genome assembly
UUGCGACCCUGGAAGCCAGACAUAAAAGAACCUUAGAAACAACAAUAUACAGAGAGCUAACAGAUAAACGCAACCAGCUCACAGCGCACCUUAACAGGAGGAUCCAACGCGCGUACGAACACUACAGACACAUGAUACAUGAACACGGAGACAAGUGCGGGAGACUGCUGGCGAAUCUCCUGAGGCAACGUAAGACACAACUGUAUAUACCGAAAAUAAAAAACGCACAGCAGCAAAUCAGACACCUCCCAGAACAAAUAGCAACGGAGUUCCAACGAUACUACCAGGACCUUUACCACCUCCGCAAGGAAGCACAGGACGACCAGAGACAUCAGAAAACGGCAGACAUACGCCAGUACCUGAACUCAGCAAACAUGCCAGAUAUAACGGAAGCAGAGAAAGACGCGCUAGAAGCGCCUAUAACACCCGAAGAGUUGGCAUACGCCAUCAAGAAAGCUAAAACGGGGAAGGCACCGGGGCCAGAUGGACUGCCCCUCCAAUACUACAAGGUCUUCACGCAAGAGCUUCAGCCGAAACUACUUAAAGCCCUGAACUCCAUACAGGACGGAGCUGCACCUACGGCCCAGUUCACCUCAGCAAACAUUACCCUGCUACCAAAGGAGGGCAAAGACCCGACAUUGUGCCCAAACUACCGCC